UAUGAAUAAUUUUAAAUGGCCGCAGUAAUUUGACUGUGCAAAGGUAGCAUAAUCAUUAGUCUUUUAAUUGAAGGCUUGUAUGAAUGGUUGGACGAAGUAUAAUCUGUUUCAUAUAAAUUUUAUAUAGAAUUUUAUUUUUUAGUAAAAAAGCUAAAAUUUAUUUAAAAGACGAGAAGACCCUAUAAAUCUUUAUAUUUUUAUUUAUUUUUAUAUUUUUGAUUUAUUUUAUAAUAAUAAAUAAAAUUAUUUUGUUGGGGUGAUAAUAAAAUUUAAUUAACUUUUAAUUUAUUUUUACAUUAAUUUAUGAUUAAUUGAUCCAUUAAUAAUGAUUAAAAGAUUAAGUUACUUUAGGGAUAACAGCGUAAUUUUUUUGGAGAGUUCUUAUUGAUAAAAAAGUUUGCGACCUCGAUGUUGGAUUAAGAUAUAAUUCUAGGUGUAGUUGCUUAGA
RNAcentral lists this ribosomal RNA (448 nucleotides) under Dectodesis sp. KKD. Its description in RNAcentral is "partial large subunit ribosomal RNA". Lineage: Eukaryota; Metazoa; Arthropoda; Insecta; Diptera; Tephritidae. The record is from RNAcentral.